GAGUUUGAUCCUGGUUCAGGGCGAACGCUGGCGGCGUGCCUAAGACAUGCAAGUCGUGCGAUUCUCUGGAGCUCGCUCCAGAGGAUAGCGGCGGACGGGUGAGUAACGCGUAGGCAACCCGCCCACAGGACCGGGACAACAGGACGAAAGCCCUGCUAAUACCGGAUAGGCACCAGGCUCCGCAUGGAGCUCGGUGGAAAGGGGUAACCCACCUGUGGAUGGGCCUGCGUCCCAUUAGCUUGUUGGUGAGGUAACGGCCCACCAAGGCUUCGAUGGGUAGCCGACCUGAGAGGGUGACCGGCCACACUGGGACUGAGACACGGCCCAGACUCCUACGGGAGGCAGCAGUCGGGAAUUUUCCACAAUGGGCGAAAGCCUGAUGGAGCAACGCCGCGUGAGUGAGGAAGGUCUUCGGAUUGUAAAACUCUGUCCCGAGGGAAGAACACAAUGACGGUACCUCGGGAGGAAGCCCCGGCUAACUACGUGCCAGCAGCCGCGGUAAUACGUAGGGGGCAAGCGUUGUCCGGAGUUACUGGGCGUAAGGCGUGUAGGCGGUUCGCUAAGUCGG
This 568-nucleotide ribosomal RNA is filed under the name uncultured Clostridia bacterium. RNAcentral's name for it is "bacterial SSU rRNA". It matches the Rfam family "Bacterial small subunit ribosomal RNA", at positions 9 to 591 of the family's 1533-position model. The record is from RNAcentral. Lineage: Bacteria; Bacillati; Bacillota; Clostridia.